UCCGAGUUGACCCCGGCAGUCUCCCACGAGUCCCCGGCAUAACCCGCUGGCAACAUGGGACAAGGGUUGCGCUCGUUGCGGGACUUAACCCAACAUCUCACGACACGAGCUGACGACAGCCAUGCAGCACCUGUCUUGGGACUCCGAAGAGGUGCCGUGGUUUCUCACGGCUUUCCCCAAGAUGUCAAGCCCAGGUAAGGUUCUUCGCGUUGCGUCGAAUUAAACCACAUGCUCCACCGCUUGUGCGGGCCCCCGUCAAUUCCUUUGAGUUUCAACCUUGCAGUCGUACUUCCCAGGUGGAUUACUUAAUGCUUUCGCUCAGACACACACAGUGUAUCGCGUAUGUCGAGUAAUCAUCGUUUAGGGCGUGGACUAC
This 376-nucleotide unclassified non-coding RNA is filed under the name uncultured bacterium. Its description in RNAcentral is "contains 16S-23S intergenic spacer region". The record is from RNAcentral.